UGGCGCGCGGGAUGCUUUCCAUGCAAGUCGACGGCAGCACGAGAGAGCUUGUUUUUCUUGGUGGCGAGUGGCGAACGGGUGAAAGGGGAGGGGGAACGUGCCCAGUAGCGGGGGAAACUACUUGAAAAAAAGGAAGAAUACCGCAUACGCCCUACGGGGGAAAGGGGGGGAUCGCUAGACCUCUCACUAUUGGAGCGGCCGAUAAGGAUAGAGUAGUUGGUGGGGUAAAGGCUCACCAAGGCAACGAUCCGUACCUGGUUUGAGAGGACGACCAGCCACACUGGGACUGAGACACGGCCCAGACUCCUACGGGAGGCAGCAGUGGGGAAUUUUGGACAAUGGGGGAAACCCUGAUCCAGCCAUCCCGCGUGUAUGAUGAAGGCCUUCGGGUUGUAAAGUACUUUUGGCAGAGAAAAAAAGGCUUCCCCUACUACGGGAUGCUGCUGACGGUAUUUGCAUAUUAAGCACCGGCUAACUACCUGCCAUCUGCCGCGGGAAUACGUACGGUGCAAGCGUUAAUCGGAAUUACUGGGCGUACAGCGUGUGUAGGCGGUUCGGAACGAAAGAUGUGAAAUCCCAGGGCUCAACCUUGGAACUGCAUUUUUACCUGCCGAGCUAGAGUAUGUCAGAGGGCGGUAGAAUUCCCACGUGUAGCAGUGAAAUGCCCUAGAUAU
Molecule: ribosomal RNA, 674 nt
Filed under: Bordetella sp. ADP-18
Lineage: Bacteria; Pseudomonadati; Pseudomonadota; Betaproteobacteria; Burkholderiales; Alcaligenaceae
Description: partial 16S rRNA
Rfam family: Bacterial small subunit ribosomal RNA
Source: RNAcentral